Molecule: ribosomal RNA, 712 nt
Filed under: Shigella sonnei
Lineage: Bacteria; Pseudomonadati; Pseudomonadota; Gammaproteobacteria; Enterobacterales; Enterobacteriaceae
Description: partial 23S ribosomal RNA
Rfam family: Bacterial large subunit ribosomal RNA
Source: RNAcentral
GAAGCGUCUGGAAAGGCGCGCGAUACAGGGUGACAGCCCCGUACACAAAAAUGCACAUAUUGUGAGCUCGAUGAGUAGGGCGGGACACGUGGUAUCCUGUCUGAAUAUGGGGGGCCCAUCCUCCAAGGCUAAAUACUCCUGACUGACCGAUAGUGAACCAGUACCGUGAGGGAAAGGCGAAAAGAACCCCGGCGAGGGGAGUGAAAAAGAACCUGAAACCGUGUACGUACAAGCAGUGGGAGCACGCUUAGGCGUGUGACUGCGUACCUUUUGUAUAAUGGGUCAGCGACUUAUAUUCUGUAGCAAGGUUAACCGAAUAGGGGAGCCGAAGGGAAACCGAGUCUUAACUGGGCGUUAAGUUGCAGGGUAUAGACCCGAAACCCGGUGAUCUAGCCAUGGGCAGGUUGAAGGUUGGGUAACACUAACUGGAGGACCGAACCGACUAAUGUUGAAAAAUUAGCGGAUGACUUGUGGCUGGGGGUGAAAGGCCAAUCAAACCGGGAGAUAGCUGGUUCUCCCCGAAAGCUAUUUAGGUAGCGCCUCGUGAAUUCAUCUCCGGGGGUAGAGCACUGUUUCGGCAAGGGGGUCAUCCCGACUUACCGACCCGAUGCAAACUGCGAAUAUCGGAGAAUGUUAUCACGGGAGACACACGGCGGGUGCUAACGUCCGUCGUGAAGAGGGAAACAACCCAGACCGCCAGCUAAGGUCCCAA